This 292-nucleotide ribosomal RNA is filed under the name uncultured bacterium. RNAcentral's name for it is "partial 16S ribosomal RNA". It matches the Rfam family "Bacterial small subunit ribosomal RNA", at positions 505 to 796 of the family's 1533-position model. The record is from RNAcentral.
GUGCCAGCCGCCGCGGUAAUACGGAGGGUGCAAGCGUUAUCCGGAUUCACUGGGUUUAAAGGGUGCGUAGGUGGCUUUGUAAGUCAGUGGUGAAAGCCCGGAGCUUAACUCCGGAACUGCCAUUGAUACUGCUUAGCUUGAAUCAGGUCGAGGUGGAUGGAAUAUUACAUGUAGCGGUGAAAUGCUUAGAUAUGUAAUAGAACACCGAUUGCGAAGGCAGUUCACUAGGCCUGAAUUGACACUGAGGCACGAAAGCGUGGGGAUCAAACAGGAUUAGAAACCCGCGUAGUCC